AUUGAACGCUGGCGGCAGGCCUAACACAUGCAAGUCGAGCGGAGCGGCGGACGGGGGAGUAAUGCCUAGGAAUCUGCCUGGUAGUGGGGGAUAAAUUCCGGAAACGGGCGCUAUUACAGAAUACUAUCAGUUGAGCUUAGGUCGGAUUAGCUAGUUGGUGGGGUAAAGGCCUACCAAGCCGACGAUCCGUAACUGGUCUGAGAGGAUGAUCAGUCACACUGGAACUGAGACACGGUCCAGACUCCUACGGGAGGCAGCAGUGGGGAAUAUUGGACAAUGGGCGAAAGCCUGAUCCAGCCAUGCCGCGUGUGUGAAGAAGGUCUUCGGAUUGUAAAGCACUGUAAGUAGGGAGGCGUUACCAACAGAAUAAGCACCGGCUAACUUCGUGCCAGCCGCCGCGGUAAUUC
Molecule: ribosomal RNA, 407 nt
Filed under: uncultured bacterium
Lineage: Bacteria
Description: partial 16S ribosomal RNA
Rfam family: Bacterial small subunit ribosomal RNA
Source: RNAcentral